AAGACUAUACUUUCAUGGAUAAUUUCUAUAGUUCUUUACCAGAGACACUUCUCUGACCAUGUAGAGUACUGGAAACCAUGAGGAGGAGACGUAGCAUUCAGUCUUGAGUGUAAAGCCAGCUGUUGAUGUUGCUCUGCUGCAAUCGCCACUUACCAUUGAUGAUGGUUCCUGCUAUCCUUCUGGGAGCUGAAAGGGAGAGGAUGCAGUCUGAGUGGG
Molecule: small nucleolar RNA, 216 nt
Organism: Jaculus jaculus (lesser Egyptian jerboa)
Lineage: Eukaryota; Metazoa; Chordata; Mammalia; Rodentia; Dipodidae
Gene: U3
Rfam family: Small nucleolar RNA U3
About the family: Small nucleolar RNAs (snoRNAs) are involved in the processing and modification of rRNA in the nucleolus. There are two main classes of snoRNAs: the box C/D class, and the box H/ACA class.
Source: Ensembl